RNAcentral lists this ribosomal RNA (253 nucleotides) under uncultured bacterium. RNAcentral's name for it is "partial 16S ribosomal RNA". It matches the Rfam family "Bacterial small subunit ribosomal RNA", at positions 524 to 776 of the family's 1533-position model. The record is from RNAcentral.
UACGUAGGGUGCAAGCGUUGUCCGGAAUUAUUGGGCGUAAAGAGCUCGUAGGCGGUCUGUCGCGUCUGCUGUGAAAACUCGGGGCUUAACCCCGGGCCUGCAGUGGGUACGGGCAGACUAGAGUGCGGUAGGGGAGACUGGAAUUCCUGGUGUAGCGGUGGAAUGCGCAGAUAUCGGGAGGAACACCCGUAGCGAAGGCGGUUCUCUGGGCCAAUACUGACGCUGAGGAGCGAAAGCGUGGGGAGCAAACAGG